Phrynosoma platyrhinos (Desert horned lizard) is the source of this 72-nucleotide non-coding RNA. The record is from the annotation of a GenBank genome assembly. Lineage: Eukaryota; Metazoa; Chordata; Lepidosauria; Squamata; Phrynosomatidae.
GACAGUGUGGUGUAGUGGUUGGAGGAUUGGACUACAACUCUGGGGACCAGGGUUCGAUUCCCUGCUUGGCCA